RNAcentral lists this ribosomal RNA (489 nucleotides) under uncultured fungus. RNAcentral's name for it is "eukaryotic LSU rRNA". The stretch from base 159 to 313 matches the Rfam family "5.8S ribosomal RNA". The record is from RNAcentral. Lineage: Eukaryota; Fungi.
CAUGUGCACGCUCUGUUCAUACAUCCACUCACACCUGUGCACCCACUGUAGCUCUAUGGUCUGGGAGCUUCUGUCUCCUCCCUUUAGAUCUGCGUCUUUACACGUACACCGUAGCAAAGUCUUAUGGAAUGUGUGCCGCGUUUAACGCAAUACAAUACAACUUUCAGCAACGGAUCUCUUGGCUCUCGCAUCGAUGAAGAACGCAGCGAAAUGCGAUAAGUAAUGUGAAUUGCAGAAUUCAGUGAAUCAUCGAAUCUUUGAACGCACCUUGCGCCCCUUGGUUAUUCCGAGGGGCAUGCCUGUUUGAGUAUCAUGAACACCUCAACUCUCACGGUUUGCCGUGAUGAGCUUGGAUUUUUGGGGGUUUUGCUGGCUUGUGGUCGGCUCCUCUAAAACAGAUCAGCUUGCCAGUGUUUGGUGGCGUCAUGGGUGUGAUAACUAUCUACGCUUGCGAUGGCCUGCCAAGUAACCUUCAGAGAAUGGAGGUUU